RNAcentral lists this ribosomal RNA (117 nucleotides) under Streptococcus equinus. RNAcentral also lists the same sequence under 1 other name. The record is from RNAcentral. Lineage: Bacteria; Bacillati; Bacillota; Bacilli; Lactobacillales; Streptococcaceae.
UUAAGUGACGAUAGCCUAGGAGAUACACCUGUUCCCAUGCCGAACACAGAAGUUAAGCCCUAGCACGCCUGAUGUAGUUGGGGGUUGCCCCCUGUUAGAUAUGGUAGUCGCUUAGCA